GACGAACGCGGGCGGCGUGCCUAAUACAUGCAAGUAGGACGCACAGUUUAUACCGUAGCUUGCUACACCAUAGACUGUGAGUUGCGAACGGGUGAGUAACGCGUAGGUAACCUGCCUAUUAGAGGGGGAUAACUAUUGGAAACGAUAGCUAAUACCGCAUAACAGUAUGUAACACAUGUUAGAUGCUUGAAAGAUGCAAUUGCAUCGCUAGUAGAUGGACCUGCGUUGUAUUAGCUAGUAGGUAGGGUAAUGGCCUACCUAGGCGACGAUACAUAGCCGACCUGAGAGGGUGAUCGGCCACACUGGGACUGAGACACGGCCCAGACUCCUACGGGAGGCAGCAGUAGGGAAUCUUCGGCAAUGGGGGGAACCCUGACCGAGCAACGCCGCGUGAGUGAAGAAGGUUUUCGGAUCGUAAAGCUCUGUUGUUAAGGAAGAACGAGUGUGAAAAUGGAAAGUUCAUACUGUGACGGUACUUAACCAGAAAGGGACGGCUAACUACGUGCCAGCAGCCGCGGUAAUACGUAGGUCCCGAGCGUUGUCCGGAUUUAUUGGGCGUAAAGCGAGCGCAGGCGGUUAGAAAAGUCUGAAGUGAAAGGCAGUGGCUCAACCAUUGUAGGCUUUGGAAACUGUUUAACUUGAGUGCAGAAGGGGAGAGUGGAAUUCCAUGUGUAGCGGUGAAAUGCGUAGAUAUAUGGAGGAACACCGGUGGCGAAAGCGGCUCUCUGGUCUGUAACUGACGCUGAGGCUCGAAAGCGUGGGGAGCGAACAGG
Molecule: ribosomal RNA, 773 nt
Filed under: Streptococcus anginosus
Lineage: Bacteria; Bacillati; Bacillota; Bacilli; Lactobacillales; Streptococcaceae
Description: bacterial SSU rRNA
Rfam family: Bacterial small subunit ribosomal RNA
Source: RNAcentral